ACACCGGAAUUCUGCCCAAUCGCGGAAAGCCUGAAGCACCUACGCCGCGUGGGGGAUGAAGGCCUUCGGGUUGUAAACCCCUUUUCGGGGGGAAGAAUAUGGNCGGNANCCUNGGAAUAAGCCUUGGCUAAUUCCCUG
RNAcentral lists this ribosomal RNA (138 nucleotides) under uncultured Chloroflexota bacterium. RNAcentral describes it as "uncultured Chloroflexi bacterium partial 16S ribosomal RNA". It matches the Rfam family "Bacterial small subunit ribosomal RNA", at positions 353 to 507 of the family's 1533-position model. The record is from RNAcentral. Lineage: Bacteria; Bacillati; Chloroflexota.